This 492-nucleotide ribosomal RNA is filed under the name uncultured bacterium. RNAcentral's name for it is "partial 16S ribosomal RNA". It matches the Rfam family "Bacterial small subunit ribosomal RNA", at positions 29 to 507 of the family's 1533-position model. The record is from RNAcentral.
AGUGAACGCUGGCGGUAGGCCUAACGCAUGCAAGUCGAACGGCAGCACAGUAAGAGCUUGCUCUUACGGGUGGCGAGUGGCGGACGGGUGAGGAAUACAUCGGAAUCUACUUUUUCGUGGGGGAUAACGUAGGGAAACUUACGCUAAUACCGCAUACGACCUACGGGUGAGAGCAGGGGAUCUUCGGACCUUGCGCGAUUGAAUGAGCCGAUGUCGGAUUAGCUAGUUGGCGGGGUAAAGGCCCACCAAGGCGACGAUCCGUAGCUGGUCUGAGAGGAUGAUCAGCCACACUGGAACUGAGACACGGUCCAGACUCCUACGGGAGGCAGCAGUGGGGAAUAUUGGACAAUGGGCGCAAGCCUGAUCCAGCCAUACCGCGUGGGUGAAGAAGGCCUUCGGGUUGUAAAGCCCUUUUGUUGGGAAAGAAAAGCAGCAGGUUAAUACCCCGCUGUUCUGACGGUACCCAAAGAAUAAGCACCGGCUAACUUCGUG